RNAcentral lists this small RNA (202 nucleotides) under Drosophila pseudoobscura pseudoobscura. Its description in RNAcentral is "GA30743". Lineage: Eukaryota; Metazoa; Arthropoda; Insecta; Diptera; Drosophilidae. The record is from RNAcentral.
AGCUAAAAACGGUUCGGAUUGCACAGAUUGAUGAUGAUGCAAAUUAAAUAGGCAAUCAUGUUGAGACAGCCCACAGCCCCCCAGCAGCAAAAAGGCGAGCCCGAGUCCCCUAUGAGAGAUAUAAAGCUAAAGAAAUGAGGCGAUGCCAGAGGCAGGAGGUGGCAAUAAAAUAAAUAAACUUUGAAGGCAAUCUCAAUUGGAA